Tribolium castaneum (red flour beetle) is the source of this 3054-nucleotide RNA transcript. RefSeq lists it as uncharacterized. NCBI's taxonomy places the organism in Eukaryota, Metazoa, Arthropoda, Insecta, Coleoptera, Tenebrionidae. The transcript is spliced from 9 exons. The record is from RefSeq and is a predicted model, not a curated record.
CAAAUGUAUUGGUGGUUGCCUAUCGGAGGUACAAACUUAAAUUUUUGUAGUUUAUGAUUUUAAAAAUUGCCUUAUUUUUUAAACUACAUCUACGUUUCGGAAAACAGUUAUAGAUUUUAGUCUUAAUUCUUGUCAAAAUUCUACAACUACCUGUUUCCCAGUUAGGUCACAAACUGUUUUUUUUUUAAGUGAGGUUAUGUAACCGCUGUUUAACAAGGAAUAAAAUUGCUCAAGAAAUAAGGGGCUAGUUUCCAACAACAGAAACUCACAAACGGAGAAGUGGUAAAAAUGUUCGACCAAAAGCAAAAUCCAAAAAAGUACAGAGGGAACAGGAACAAACAGUACUCUACAUUAUGUACCUUUGAAGAAAAAAAUAAGUUUCUAAUGACUAAACGGUCCGUGCACCUUGGGUCAACACCAAAUGAUUAGAAGUCUGAACCACCGUUUCAACUUUUUUCCCAAUGCCUUUAAAACUCUACAACUCGAACCAACUUGGUUCAUUUGAAACAAUAUGCUUAAACUUUCCUUCAUUUUCAACUUUAUUGUUUUAUUCUACCCAGCUCUACCAAACCGAACAUCCAAAUUUUUUGGUGUCGGUUUGGUUCGUUUCGAAAAUAGCGUAUGCACCUCAGCUAGCAACAAUCUUGGCACGUGCUACACCCGCUGGCAGUGCCAAAACGUAGACGGCGUUGGAUCUGGCUCUUGUGCCCAAAACAUCGGCGUCUGCUGCGUCAUAACUCGCCAAUGUGGCGAAACCACAAGAUACAACAACACCUACUUCAGCAACGACGAAUUCCCCAACCCUUCAACAGACGGAACCACUUGUACUUUAACAAUCCAAAAAUGCAACGAUGAUAUUUGUCAAGUACGAAUUGACUUUCUCAACUUAAAUCUAGCCCAACCGAACCCGCAAGGCAUUUGCGACACUGACGCCCUCACAAUCACAGGAGGCGCAGCCCCUGUCCCUAUAAUUUGUGGCGAAAACACCGGCCAACACGUUUACGUCGAUUUUAACGGAAACAACACCAUCCAAUUAACUGUAAUGACAUCAAGUGGUGAUAGCAUUGGGAGAAACUGGAAUUUUUUAAUCACUCAAAUCGCCUGCGAUUGUCCGACUCGAGCCCCCAUUGGCUGUCUCAUGUACUACACGUCCUUGUCUGGCACUGUUAAUAGCUUCAACUACGGCACUUCGACCAAUGAAAUUGACCCAAUGACUGGACUUCCCGGCACCCGGGAAUUGGUUAACGAAAAUUACGGUGUUUGUAUUGCCAUGGUUCCCGGUUACUGUUCAAUCGAAUGGAGCGCUGCGUCUGGUAAUUCUUUUGUAGUGUCUGGCGAUGUGGGGGCUUUAGGAAUGGUCAGCUUGACUGGAACUGACUGCAAUUCCGACUUUGUGGUCAUUCCGAACCCGUCGUACGUUAACGGAACGGCAGUUAAUUCGGAUCGCUUCUGUGGUACGGCUUUCCCGUCAGUUGUUACGAGUUCUAAACCGUUCGUUCUAACGGUUGUAACAAACGGGAAUGAAGUUAAUGAUACACAGAAUCGGGGAUUUUCGCUUAAUUUUAUGCAAAGGAGGUGUUCCACUAUUACUACAUAAUUGUUUAUUUGCCGAAUAAAUUGCCAGUGCCUGAGCAUUGGUUUUGGGUGUACAUUAGGGAGAAUCCACGGUUGGCUUCGUCAGUGGGCGGGAUGUCGGUGCCGUCAGUCACCACAGUCAGGACAAAUGGUUUGGAUGAAGCUAAAUUUGUACUUAAUUUUUCACUCCGAAAAAUUCAAAUGCGCUGGUGCAAUCUGUUUAUUUUCUAAGUGACUUACUUGUAACUGAAUUGAACCCAUUCCCGCAAAACCGGUCAGUGUUAGGUCCCACUAAACUCGAAUUCACAUAACUCGGGUUAGGAAUAACCACAAAAUCUGUGGUACAAUUCCCAUUUGAAAGAGCUGAAGGAGGCCCAAUGGUACCAUUCCCCACCGCUUGGUUCGUAUUCCCCGUCACCGUAAACGCAUACAUGUCCCCCGGAGAGGUCCCCCAGGUGAUGGAGCAAUACCCAGGUUGCAUUUCCACACAAACCCCAUAAUUCUCAUUCGCCAGUUGCCUUGUCCCCGUCUGUGGCCCAGUGGUACCAUAAUUAAAACUUCUAACAGUGCCACUUAAGGCAGUGUAGUACUGUAAACACCCGGUGGGCGCUUUCGUGGGGCAGUCGCAGCCAAUUUGCGUGAUUUUGAAGUUCCAAGCCCUGGAGGCGGCGGUGGCGGCGGCGUUGGUGUUGAGCACGAGUUGGAUGUCGCUGUCGCCGUUAAAGUCGACGUAGAUGUGUUGUCCGCUGUUCUCGCCGCAUAACACCGGCACGUUGGAGGCGCCGCCAAUGACGUAGAAGGCAUCAGUGGUGCAGGUGCCGUUGGCGUCGGGUUGGGCCAAGGAGAAGGCGAGGAAGUCGAUGCGGAUUUGGCAGAUGUCGGGGUUGCACUUGGGGAUGGUGACCGUGCAGGUGGAGCCCCCAGGAUAAGGUGUAGGGAAGUUGGGGCUGGUGAAGUAGGUGUUGUUGUAGGAAGAGGAGCCCCCGCAGGUUAUUUGAACUCAAACGCCGAUUCCUUUGGCACAUGGGCCUGCCCCAACUCCGCCUAUUUCGUUGCAUUGUCUUCGGGUGUAGCAAGUGCCUUCAAAACCGUCAGCACCUCCACAGACCGAAUUUUCAAAUCGGACCAGGCCAAUUCCCCAGCCAAGUGGAAAAACUUGACAAAAAUUACAAAAUUAAUGCUUUUUUGCUACAAACGACGAUGAUAUAAUUUAUUUAUUUAGAAAUUUUUAAAUUUAUUUAAUUAACGAUGUAAAUUCUCGCAAUUUAAAAAAAUGUAGGCAACCAACUAUACAAGGAUGAAUUUUGUAGGUUGCGGUUGCCUAUCUUUUAAUUUGUAAUUUUUUAGGAAAUCUUUACAUUUUAUCUCUUUCAUUUCAUCUAUAAUAUAAUUAAAUUAAAUAGUUUUGCAAAACUUUAAAACUAAAAUGUGUAUAACAAUCACAGGAACACGAUUUUAAUAAAAUUAUUUAAACAGUAA